AUUGAACGCUAGCUGUAUGCUUAACACAUGCAAGUCGAACGGCAGCGCGAGGAGCUUGCUCCUUGGCGGCGAGUGGCGGACGGGUGAGUAACGCGUAGGAACCUACCAAGUAGCGGGGGACAACUCGGGGAAACUCGAGCUAAUACCGCAUAAUCCCUCCGGGGGAAAGCAGGGGAUCUUCGGACCUUGCACUAUUUGAUGGGCCUGCGUAGGAUUAGCUUGUUGGUGAGGUAAAGGCUCACCAAGGCGACGAUCCUUAGCUGGUCUGAGAGGAUGAUCAGCCACACUGGGACUGAGACACGGCCCAGACUCCUACGGGAGGCAGCAGUGGGGAAUAUUGGACAAUGGGGGAAACCCUGAUCCAGCAAUACAGCGUGUGUGAAGAAGGUCUUCGGAUUGUAAAGCACUUUCAGUUAGGAAGAAAAAAUAUCGGUUAAUACCGAUAUCUUGACGUUACUACAGAAGAAGCACUGGCUAACUCU
RNAcentral lists this ribosomal RNA (482 nucleotides) under uncultured bacterium. RNAcentral describes it as "bacterial SSU rRNA". It matches the Rfam family "Bacterial small subunit ribosomal RNA", at positions 30 to 504 of the family's 1533-position model. The record is from RNAcentral.